RNAcentral lists this ribosomal RNA (1277 nucleotides) under human gut metagenome. RNAcentral describes it as "bacterial LSU rRNA". It matches the Rfam family "Bacterial large subunit ribosomal RNA", at positions 1084 to 2387 of the family's 2925-position model. The record is from RNAcentral.
CGAAGACAACUAGGAUGUUGGCUCAGAAGCAGCCAUACAUUCAAAGAGUGCGUAACAGCUCACUAGUCGAGAGUUCCUGCGCCGAAAAUGUCCGGGGCUGAAACACGACACCGAAGCCGUGGACUCGCAAUGCGAGUGGUAGAGGAGCAUUCUUAAAACCGACGAAGCUGUACCGGAAGGAGCAGUGGAGGGAUAAGAAGAGAGAAUGCCGGAAUGAGUAGCGAGAGAAAGGUGGGAAUCCUUUCGGCCGAAUAUCUAAGGUUUCCAGAGUAAAGCUGAUCUGCUCUGGGUAAGUCGGGGCCUAAGCACAGGUCGCAAGACGUAAGCGAUGGAUAACAGGUUUAGAUUCCUGUACCACGCAUUAUCAGAACUGUAGGGACGCAUGUGGAAAGCACGAGCCGGGAAUGGAAAGACCGGUACAAGCGAGGUAGGUGUACAAUAGGCAAAUCCGUUGUAUAAUCCGAAGACGUGAUGUGGAGCGAAAUAAAGUAGUGAAGCGUGUGAGCCAUGUGCCGAGAAAAGCUGCUAUUGUGUAAUGCGUGCCCGUACCGUAAACCGACACAGGUGGAUGAGGAGAGAAUCCUAAGGCCGGCGGAAGAAGCAUUGUUAAGGAAUUCGGCAAAAUGACCCCGUAACUUCGGGAGAAGGGGUGCCUGCGAGAGCAGGCCGCAGAGAAUAGGCUCAAGCAACUGUUUAGCAAAAACACAGGUCUAUGCGAAACCGAAAGGUGAAGUAUAUGGGCUGACGCCUGCCCGGUGCUGGAAGGUUAAGAGGAGAGGUUAGCGCAAGCGAAGCUUUGAAUUUAAGCCCCAGUAAACGGCGGCCGUAACUAUAACGGUCCUAAGGUAGCGAAAUUCCUUGUCGGGUAAGUUCCGACCCGCACGAAAGGCGUAAUGAUUUGAGCACUGUCUCGACAAUGCAUCCGGUGAAAUUGAAGUACCAGUGAAGAUGCUGGUUACCCGCGCCAGGACGGAAAGACCCCAUGGAGCUUUACUCCAGUUUGAUACUGGGAUUCGGUACUGCAUGUACAGGAUAGGUGGGAGACGGAGAAGGAUGGACGCCAGUCUGUCCGGAGUCGCUGUUGGGAUACCACCCCUGUAGUACUGGGUUUCUAACCAGUUGCCAUGAACUGGCAAUGGGACAAUGUCAGGCGGGGAGUUUGACUGGGGCGGUCGCCUCCGAAAGGGUAUCGGAGGCGCUCAAAGGUUCCCUCAGAAUGGUUGGAAACCAUUUGAAGAGUGCAAAGGCAGAAGGGAGCUUGACUGCGACACCGACGG